UGCAGAAUGUAGAACUCUUUGGACACUCGUAAACAGGUGGUGCAUGGUUGUCGUCAGCUCGUGUCGUGAGAUGUUGGGUUAAGUCCCGCAACGAGCGCAACCCUCGUUCUAUGUUGCCAGCACGUAAUGGUGGGAACUCAUGGGAUACUGCCGGGGUCAACUCGGAGGAAGGUGGGGAUGACGUCAAAUCAUCAUGCCCCUUAUGUCUUGGGCUUCACGCAUGCUACAAUGGCCGGUACAAAGGGCUGCAAUACCGCAAGGUGGAGCGAAUCCCAAAAAGCCGGUCCCAGUUCGGAUUGAGGUCUGCAACUCGACCUCAUGAAGUCGGAGUCGCUAGUAAUCGCAGAUCAGCAACGCUGCGGUGAAUACGUUCCCGGG
Molecule: ribosomal RNA, 378 nt
Filed under: uncultured bacterium
Lineage: Bacteria
Description: bacterial SSU rRNA
Rfam family: Bacterial small subunit ribosomal RNA
Source: RNAcentral